AGAUUGAACGCUGGCGGCGUGCUUAACACAUGCAAGUCGAGCGGUAACGCGGGAGCAAUCCUGGCGACGAGCGGCGAACGGGUGAGUAAUGCUUGGGAAUCUGCCCAUUAGUGGGGAACAACCAGCCGAAAGGUUGGCUAAUACCGCAUACGCCCUACGGGGGAAAGCGGGGGAUCGAAGACCUCGCGCUAAUGGAUGAGCCCAAGUCGGAUUAGCUUGUUGGUAGGGUAACGGCCUACCAAGGCGACAAUCCGUAGCUGGUCUGAGAGGACGACCAGCCACACUGGGACUGAGACACGGCCCAGACUCCUACGGGAGGCAGCAGUGGGGGAAUAUUGGACAAUGGGGGCAACCCUGAUCCAGCGACGCCGCGUGUGUGAAGAAGGCCUGCGGGUUGUAAAGCACUUUUAGUGGGGAUGAAAAGCUCAGGGUUAACACCUCUGGGUCUUGACCUAACCACAGAAAAGCACCGGCUAACUCUGUGCCAGCAGCCGCGGUAA
RNAcentral lists this ribosomal RNA (500 nucleotides) under uncultured bacterium. Its description in RNAcentral is "SSU rRNA". It matches the Rfam family "Bacterial small subunit ribosomal RNA", at positions 26 to 523 of the family's 1533-position model. The record is from RNAcentral.